AGUUCGGAUUGUAGUCUGNAACCCGACUACAUGAAGCCGGAAUCGCUAGUAAUCGCGGAUCAGAAUGCCGCGGUGAAUACGUUCCCGGGUCUUGUACACACCGCCCGUCACACCAUGGGAGUCGGAAAUGCCCGAAGCCGGUGACCCAACCCGAAAGGGAGGGAGCCGUCGAAGGCAGGUCGGAUGACUGGGGUGAAGUCGUAACAAGGUACC
Molecule: ribosomal RNA, 213 nt
Filed under: uncultured bacterium
Lineage: Bacteria
Description: partial 16S ribosomal RNA
Rfam family: Bacterial small subunit ribosomal RNA
Source: RNAcentral